RNAcentral lists this non-coding RNA (29 nucleotides) under Rattus norvegicus (Norway rat). The record is from RNAcentral. Lineage: Eukaryota; Metazoa; Chordata; Mammalia; Rodentia; Muridae.
UGUUGAAGUAAGAAUACUAUUAGACUGAA